Molecule: unclassified non-coding RNA, 307 nt
Filed under: plant metagenome
Description: partial contains 5.8S ribosomal RNA, internal transcribed spacer 2, and large subunit ribosomal RNA
Rfam family: 5.8S ribosomal RNA (bases 1-105)
Source: RNAcentral
GAAAUGCGAUAAGUAGUGUGAAUUGCAGAAUUCAGUGAAUCGUCGAAUCUUUGAACGCACAUUGCGCCCCUCGGCAUUCCGUGGGGCAUGCCUGUUCGAGCGUCAUCUACACCCUCAAGCUCUGCUUGGUGUUGGGCGUCUGUCCCGCCUCCGCGCGCGGACUCGCCCCAAAUGCAUUGGCAGCGGUUCCUUGCCCCCCUCUUUGCGCAGCACAUUGCCAUUCGAGGCGGCGGCGGCCCGCGUCCAACAAGCUCAACCCCCCCGUCUUUGACCUCGGAUCAGGUAGGGAUACCCGCUGAACUUAAGC